This 497-nucleotide ribosomal RNA is filed under the name uncultured bacterium. Its description in RNAcentral is "partial 16S ribosomal RNA". It matches the Rfam family "Bacterial small subunit ribosomal RNA", at positions 28 to 507 of the family's 1533-position model. The record is from RNAcentral.
GAUGAACGCUGGCGGCGUGCCUAAUACAUGCAAGUCGAGCGAACAGACGAGGAGCUUGCUCCUCUGACGUUAGCGGCGGACGGGUGAGUAACACGUGGAUAACCUACCUAUAAGACUGGGAUAACUUCGGGAAACCGGAGCUAAUACCGGAUAAUAUAUUGAACCGCAUGGUUCAACAGUGAAAGACGGUUUUGCUGUCACUUAUAGAUGGAUCCGCGCCGCAUUAGCUAGUUGGUAAGGUAACGGCUUACCAAGGCAACGAUGCGUAGCCGACCUGAGAGGGUGAUCGGCCACACUGGAACUGAGACACGGUCCAGACUCCUACGGGAGGCAGCAGUAGGGAAUCUUCCGCAAAGGGCGAAAGCCUGACGGAGCAACGCCGCGUGAGUGAUGAAGGUCUUCGGAUCGUAAAACUCUGUUAUUAGGGAAGAACAAAUGUGUAAGUAACUAUGCACGUCUUGACGGUACCUAAUCAGAAAGCCACGGCUAACUACGUG